This 224-nucleotide small RNA is filed under the name Staphylococcus aureus. Its description in RNAcentral is "HMPRFS0000_1538". Lineage: Bacteria; Bacillati; Bacillota; Bacilli; Caryophanales; Staphylococcaceae. The record is from RNAcentral.
UUCACUAGUUUUAACAAUCAAUUAAUUGGUAUAUGAUACUUUUAUUGGUUAUUUUUAUCCCAUAGUGUGAUAAUUACUAUUUUUCAUUCAUAAUAAAGGUUUAAAGCAUGUUAAUAGUGUGUAAGAUUAACAUGUACUGAAAAACAUGUUUAACAUAAUGAUAUAAGGAGUGACGUACAUGAUCCGUCUAGGUAAAAUGUCAGAUUUAGAUCAAAUCUUAAAUC